This 322-nucleotide ribosomal RNA is filed under the name uncultured eukaryote. RNAcentral's name for it is "partial 18S ribosomal RNA". It matches the Rfam family "Eukaryotic small subunit ribosomal RNA", at positions 1470 to 1796 of the family's 1831-position model. The record is from RNAcentral.
CCCUUAGACGUUCUGGGCCGCACGCGUGCUACACUGAGUGGAUCAGCGGGUCAGGUUACGCGAGAGCGUUUCCUAAUCUUCAAAUCCGCUCGUGAUGGGGAUUGACGGUUGCAAUUUUCCGUCAUGAACGAGGAAUACCUUGUAAGCGCGGGUCAUCAUCCCGCGCUGAAUACGUCCCUGCCCUUUGUACACACCGCCCGUCGCUCCUACCGAUUGAGUGGUCCGGUGAGGCUUUGGGAUCUAAGCGAAAAGAGCGUUUCGCUCCUUUUGCUGGGAGAACUCAGUCGAACCUUAUCAUUUAGAGGAAGGAGAAGUCGUAACA